UAGGGAAUCUUCGGCAAUGGACGAAAGUCUGACCGAGCAACGCCGCGUGAGUGAAGAAGGUUUUCGGAUCGUAAAACUCUGUUGUUAGAGAAGAACAAGGACGUUAGUAACUGAACGUCCCCUGACGGUAUCUAACCAGAAAGCCACGGCUAACUACGUGCCAGCAGCCGCGGUAAUACGUAGGUGGCAAGCGUUGUCCGGAUUUAUUGGGCGUAAAGCGAGCGCAGGCGGUUUCUUAAGUCUGAUGUGAAAGCCCCCGGCUCAACCGGGGAGGGUCAUUGGAAACUGGGAGACUUGAGUGCAGAAGAGGAGAGUGGAAUUCCAUGUGUAACGGUGAAAUGCGUAGAUAUAUGGAGGAACACCAGUGGCGAAGGCGGCUCUCUGGUCUGUAACUGACGCUGAGGCUCGAAAGCGUGGGGAGCAAACAGG
This 429-nucleotide ribosomal RNA is filed under the name Gemmatimonadota bacterium. RNAcentral describes it as "Gemmatimonadetes bacterium partial 16S ribosomal RNA". It matches the Rfam family "Bacterial small subunit ribosomal RNA", at positions 355 to 776 of the family's 1533-position model. The record is from RNAcentral. Lineage: Bacteria; Pseudomonadati; Gemmatimonadota.